UCGAGUAGGUCUUUAUGAGAAAUCGAUGAAGGCCGAUCUUUGGCUACCCUUCCAUUUCCUCAUCAUAGAAUUUCUUAAUUUAUAUAGAAUAAGUUUUUGUAGCAUUGCGCUGAACUUAUGAUGCUAGAUCUUAGGUUUCUUUACCCACUGCCUUCUGCUCGGGGUCAAACCAACCUCCCACCUCUUUCGAACUUGCUUCACAUUGAAGG
Molecule: long non-coding RNA, 209 nt
Filed under: Elaeis guineensis (African oil palm)
Lineage: Eukaryota; Viridiplantae; Streptophyta; Magnoliopsida; Arecales; Arecaceae
Description: long non-coding RNA (EGUI_LNC032253)
Source: RNAcentral